Molecule: ribosomal RNA, 160 nt
Filed under: Staphylococcus aureus
Lineage: Bacteria; Bacillati; Bacillota; Bacilli; Caryophanales; Staphylococcaceae
Description: partial 16S ribosomal RNA
Rfam family: Bacterial small subunit ribosomal RNA
Source: RNAcentral
CGGGUCUUGUACACACCGCCCGUCACACCACGAGAGUUUGUAACACCCGAAGCCGGUGGAGUAACCUUUUAGGAGCUAGCCGUCGAAGGUGGGACAAAUGAUUGGGGUGAAGUCGUAACAAGGUAGCCGUAUCGGAAGGUGCGGCUGGAUCACCUCCUUU